RNAcentral lists this ribosomal RNA (426 nucleotides) under uncultured bacterium. RNAcentral describes it as "partial 16S ribosomal RNA". It matches the Rfam family "Bacterial small subunit ribosomal RNA", at positions 354 to 796 of the family's 1533-position model. The record is from RNAcentral.
GUGAGGAAUUUUCCGCAAUGGGCGAAAGCCUGACGGAGCAAUGCCGCGUGAAGGAUGAAGGCCUAUGGGUUGUAAACUUCUUUUCUCAGAAAAGAAUUAUGACGGUAUCUGAGGAAUAAGCAUCGGCUAACUCUGUGCCAGCAGCCGCGGUAAGACAGAGGAUGCAAGCGUUAUUCGGAAUGAUUGGGCGUAAAGCGUCUGUAGGUUGUUUAAAAAGUAUUCUGUCAAAGAUUAGGGCUUAACCCUAGAUAGGCAGAAUAAACUUUUAAGCUAGAGUGUGGUAGAGGCAGAGAGAAUUCCCGGUGGAGCGGUGAAAUGCGUAGAUAUCGGGAGGAACACCAAAGGCGAAGGCACUCUGCUGGGCCAAUACUAACACUGAGAGACGAAAGCGAGGGGAGCAAAUGGGAUUAGAAACCCCGGUAGUCC